GUGGGAGGAAAAAGUGUGCUUCUGGAGGCUGGUGGGGGUACAGGGUGGGGAUAAUGUUGACUCCACCCCAGGACUGGGUGCAGCAAAGGCGAAGCAGUACACACCUCUCUGGCUGGUGCUUUGCUGGAUGGGUGAUAUAUCUGAAGGUAGACCUGCUUCAGCAUGAAGGACUGCACUUAAAGGGAUGCAUACUAUUCCAGCUCAAGCAACAGAUACUGAAGUGCAGAUCACUGUCCUUUGUUGAAAAGGAUCAGCAGUUUGUCAACAUAGGUAACACGCCAGAGCAAGCCUUGGGAUGCAACUCUGAAAACAGGUUAGGCCCUCUUUUCCCCAAGCCCUGCAAUAAAAUACAAACCCAA
Long non-coding RNA from Bos taurus (domestic cattle), 359 nucleotides. The record is from Ensembl. Lineage: Eukaryota; Metazoa; Chordata; Mammalia; Artiodactyla; Bovidae.